GAUGAAGAACGUAGCGAAAUGCGAUAAGUAGUGUGAAUUGCAGAAUUUAGUGAAUCAUCGAAUCUUUGAACGCACAUUGCGCCCCUUGGUAUUCCGAGGGGCAUGCCUGUUCGAGCGUCAUUAUAACCCCUCAAGCUCAGCUUGGUGUUGGGGCCUGCUGCACUGGCAGCCCUUAAAAUCAGUGGCGGCGCCAUCUGGCUCUAAGCGUAGUAAUUCUUCUCGCUAUGGAGUCCUGGUGGAUGCUUGCCAUCAACCCCCAAUUUUUCUAUGGUUGACCUCGGAUCAGGUAGGGAUACCCGCUGAACUUAAGCAUAUCAAUAAGCGGAGGA
RNAcentral lists this unclassified non-coding RNA (329 nucleotides) under soil metagenome. RNAcentral's name for it is "partial contains 5.8S ribosomal RNA, internal transcribed spacer 2, and large subunit ribosomal RNA". The stretch from base 1 to 120 matches the Rfam family "5.8S ribosomal RNA", at positions 35 to 154 of the family's 154-position model. The record is from RNAcentral.